This 1362-nucleotide long non-coding RNA is filed under the name Malus domestica (apple). RNAcentral's name for it is "long non-coding RNA (MDOM_LNC016807)". Lineage: Eukaryota; Viridiplantae; Streptophyta; Magnoliopsida; Rosales; Rosaceae. The record is from RNAcentral.
CUCAAUUUGAUUACGGAUUAGUAAACGCGCCAUAAGAGAAAUGAUGGCCUUAGUCUCACAAUGGGCUAGUAAUAAUGUAAUUCAAAUUCGUCUUUUGGCAAGAAUCGAACUUAAGAUCUCCACUUACAAGUGGAGACAAAUACCACUAGACUAUAAUACUAAGUUAUGUAUUGAUGUUAAAUACUAGUAAACUCUAAUAACUUUGUUAGGGUUUUUUAUUUUUUAUUUUUUUAAGGAAACUACUUUGUUAGGGUAUUUUGUAAACAGCACCAGAACAAAAAAUAUGUCAUGUGGAAACGUGACUUCAACCAAUAACCACCACCAAUGGUCUAACGACGGCUUCAACGACUUGCAAGGUACCCAAAAACUUGUGCUAUUACUUUUUAAAUGGAUUGCAAAUUCAAAGUAUUUAGACUAAUAUUUCAUACAUUAACUUAUUAGGUCUAAGAGGUUUCUAAUUCGGGGGUUUUUUUUUUAUGAGCUAGUUUGGUAUUAUUAUGCUUUAAAAAAAAAGAAAAAAAAACUGCUUCUACUACUAUUUUUUGGGUAAAUUACAUAGUAGUUCCUUAGGUUUGAGAUCUAUUACAACCCCAUACAACAUCUUUAAAACAUUUCACUUUCAUACCUCACGUACUAUUUUAUUUCAAAAUAAUACCUCCAUUACAUUUCCAUCCAUUGAUCCGUUAAGUGCUGACAUGGCUACCACAUUUGUGCCACGUGACUACCAAAUGUGUGCCAUGUGGCAAAAAAAAAACCUGAAUUUAAAAAAAAAAAAAACUAAAACAAAAACUGAAACCCCCGCACCCAACGAACACACAAACCUUCCACCCCCCCCCCCCAACAACAAAACCAAACAGGGAUGGAGCCAUAAAUUUCUUCUAGUGGAGGCAACCGAAAACAACUAAGAAAACCUUAUUAUAGUAUGGUUAUACACAAUAUGAUAUUAAGAAUGGGUUCAAAUGAUGACGUAUCACAAUUCCAAUGUUACAAAAAUUUCAAUAUAGUAGUGGAAAGUGGAAAGUGUAAAAGUGAUGAGAAAAAUAUAAGGAAAACUAAUGAAAAAGGCUUGAAAACUUUGAGUUUUAAUGAUAAGGACAAAAUAAAGGGUAAAGUGAAUAGUACCAGGAUUGACUUUUUAGUGUAAAAAUGUGGUUUUUCGUUAAAGUGAACAGUACCGGGUGCUUUUCGUUAAAGUUCCCAAAAAUAUAACUACAUGACAGGCAGGAGGGGGUUUUUUCGGUUUGAAUGACAGAACAAGAGCACUAUUGCUCAUAUAAUAUUUGAAUGGAGUAUAAGUAGAAUGAAUGUAUGUUGAAUAUUAGAUACAUAUAUUUUCUUCAAAGAUAACCCGUGUAUAUUAUA